This 85-nucleotide transfer RNA is filed under the name Felis catus (domestic cat). It matches the Rfam family "tRNA". From Rfam's summary of the family: Transfer RNA (tRNA) molecules are approximately 80 nucleotides in length. Lineage: Eukaryota; Metazoa; Chordata; Mammalia; Carnivora; Felidae. RNAcentral also lists the same sequence under 1 other name. The record is from Rfam by way of RNAcentral.
GCCUGGGUGGCUCAGUCGGUUGAGCGUCCGACUUCGGCUCAGGUCAUGAUGUCCCCGUUCGUGGGUUCAAGCCCCGCGUCGGGCU